RNAcentral lists this unclassified non-coding RNA (597 nucleotides) under Hevea brasiliensis (rubber tree). The record is from RNAcentral. Lineage: Eukaryota; Viridiplantae; Streptophyta; Magnoliopsida; Malpighiales; Euphorbiaceae.
GAAGAUGAUGAUGAUGAUGUGUUUGUUGAGGUAUCCGAGUCAGGUCAGGAGUCAGAUGUGGAUUGGAAUCGGAGUAAGGAGAGGAAGGAAGCAAAGAAUGUGAAGAAAAAGAAUGCAAGGAUUGGAACCCCAAGAAAAAAUGCCAAGAAACAGCACACUGAUAAGGCAAAAACUGUUGAAGGAAACAAUGACGACAAUUUGCAAGAUGGUUUAGCAACUCAAGGUGGUGUGGAAAUAUCCCAUGCUGUAACAGUUGAGUCAAGUAACAGAGGAGUCACAAGUAAGACAAGAAGGCAACGUGGGAGGGUUGCAAAACACUUCGGGAAUUUGGAUUUGAAUGUGGAGUUCAGUAAUGAGGUUGAGGAGCCUAUAAUUCAAAUGAGCCGAGAAAAUGAAGCAGGAGAGGGAGAAGAUGACACUGUUGAAGUAAUUGGGUUUUUUGAAGGUCUUGAUGAAUUCCUUAGCAGUCUUCCUAUACUCAAUGCUGUGGAUGGUGAUAAAGUAGAGGCUGCCUAGCUAAGUAAGACACUUCUUUUGUUGUAGUUGUAGCUAUAAUUUUUGUCUUCUGGAUGCUGUAGUUAAGAAUGGUGUAGAAUU